CCAAAAACGGUUUAUACCUUUUUAGAACUGUUAUUUUAUUAUGGUAUAUUAAAUUAUUUCAAUUUCUAUUAAUUAUGGGAGUUACAGCAUAAAACCAGUUAACAAACUUAAACUACUAUAUAACUAUAAGCUUAAUAAAGAUUUUUUUUUGGGGUAAAUAAGGUGCCAGCAACCGCGGUCAAACCUUUACCAGCACUAUAACUUUUACAUAAGUAAAGAUCUUCAGGUUUUAGUUAGACUUCACUUUUAGGUGAAAUAAAAGCUUUCAAAAAUUUUAAUAAAACCUUUCUUAUCUUAAAGUCACCUACUAAACUAGGAUUAGAGACCCUACUAUAAUGAUCUUACUAUCUUUACUUUAUUAAGGAGUACAUUACAUAAGGAAUUAAACUUAAAUAAUAUGGCGGCCAUAGAAAAUUUUUAGGGGAACUUACCAGGUAAAUGAUAGCCAACAAGAAAAUCUUCUUUUUUUUACUUUAGUUUGUAUGCCGUCGUCAUAAAAGCAUAUUAAAAAUAUACUUAAGAAAUCUUUAGUGAAUAAAAUGACAGAUCAAGGUGCAGCUUAUAUUAAAGAUUCUAGGCGAGUUACAAUAAUUUUAUUUUUCAGUUGUAAGCAAAUUAUUUGCUUAUAUAAGUUGGACUUAAAAGUAAAAGAGAACUACAAAACAAUUUUUGAAUAAACAUUUCUAUAGUGU
Molecule: ribosomal RNA, 692 nt
Filed under: Orculella mesopotamica
Lineage: Eukaryota; Metazoa; Mollusca; Gastropoda; Stylommatophora; Orculidae
Description: partial 12S ribosomal RNA
Source: RNAcentral